Molecule: ribosomal RNA, 501 nt
Filed under: uncultured bacterium
Lineage: Bacteria
Description: bacterial SSU rRNA
Rfam family: Bacterial small subunit ribosomal RNA
Source: RNAcentral
GACAAACGCUGGCGGCGUGCCUAACACAUGCAAGUCGAGCGGAGAUACCUGACGAGUAAUCAGAUGGUAUUUUAGCGGCGGACGGGUGAGUAACGCGUGAGCAACCUGCCCUUUACAGGGGGAUAACGCACCGAAAGGUGCACUAAUACCGGAUAACUGAUUAGACCGCAUGGUCUAAUGAUAAAAGAUGGCUUCGGCUAUUACUUAAGGAUGGGCCCGCGGCGCAUUAGCUAGUUGGUGGGGUAACAGCCUACCAAGGCAACGAUGCGUAGCCGACCUGAGAGGGUGAUCGGCCACAUUGGGACUGAGACACGGCCCAAACUCCUACGGGAGGCAGCAGUAGGGAAUCUUCCGCAAUGGACGAAAGUCUGACGGAGCAACGCCGCGUGAGUGAUGAAGGUCUUCGGAUCGUAAAACUCUGUUGUUAGGGAAGAACAAGUAUCGUUCGAAUAGGGCGGUACCUUGACGGUACCUAACCAGAAAGCCACGGCUAACUACGUG